RNAcentral lists this ribosomal RNA (265 nucleotides) under uncultured bacterium. RNAcentral's name for it is "partial 16S ribosomal RNA". It matches the Rfam family "Bacterial small subunit ribosomal RNA", at positions 57 to 305 of the family's 1533-position model. The record is from RNAcentral.
GCAAGUCGAACGAGAAGCCUGUAAUGAAUACUUCGGUAGGAUUGAUGGGUGGAAAGUGGCGAACGGUUGAGUAACACGUGGGUGACCUGCCCUGGAGAGGGGGAUAACCAUUCGAAAGGAUGGCUAAUACCGCAUAAUCCUAAUUACAUGGGAAUGUAGCUAGGGAAAACUCCGGUGCUCUGGGAGGGGCCUGCGUCCGAUUAGCUAGUUGGUGAGGUAAGAGCCUACCAAGGCGACGAUCGGUAGCUGGUCUGAGAGGACGAUC